RNAcentral lists this unclassified non-coding RNA (939 nucleotides) under Rhabditida sp. 3089ed. RNAcentral describes it as "sequence contains 18S rRNA gene, ITS1, 5.8S rRNA gene, ITS2, 28S rRNA gene". Lineage: Eukaryota; Metazoa; Nematoda; Chromadorea; Rhabditida. The record is from RNAcentral.
UCACUCGCCGUUACUAAGGGAAUCCUCGUUAGUUUCUUUUCCUCCGCCUAGUGAUAUGCUUAAGUUCAGCGGGUAACCACGCUUAAGCUGAGGUUGAGAAUUCAAAGAAAUCGCACAACACAUUAGACAAGCGCAGGCAGCCCUUUAGCGGAUUCAUCCUGCCGAAUCCAGGCAUCACCCGCACGCCAACGCAUUGCGUCUGUACUUGAGAUUCAUCCCCAUUUCGGGAACGUUUCUCGUGGUGUACAUGCAUCCAAAUCUAAGAGAGGGCGCGAACGCGCUCUCCGACCCAACACCGUACAAGCAUCGGCGCAAUUGAGUUCUGUAAAACAACCCUCAGCCAAACGUGCCGACGGGAGCAAACCCGCGGCGCAAUGUGCGUUCGAAAGUUUAGAGCUCAAUGUGUCUGCAAUUCGCUCUAAUUAACGCAGCUGGCUGCGUUCUUCAUCGACCCAUGAACCAAGUGAUCCACCGCUAGGACUGAUUGUCUUUAUUCAUAAGCGUUACCGUUUCCGGUCAACACCUUUCAAGAUAUUCCAGAGUAUGAAAAAAGAGUUUUGCUGGCGGCACCCUAGCUAGUGCUCAUUGAGUCUCGCCGCAAGGGCGUAAGCUCCCACACUUCAUCAUGACCGACGGCACACAAGCUGCAGUCACUCUGCGCAGGCGUAGACACCAGCGAAGGCCGUUGAUUGCGCGGACGCACGCCCCUCAAGCUGGGCGACAUCCUAUAAGGUUCGGAUCUGUAACUUUUAAUCGUUAAUGAUCCCGCUGCAGAUUCCUCUACAGCGGCCUUGUUACGACUUUUGCCCGGUUCAAGCCACUGCGAUUAAGACGAUUUCCAUCACAUGGAGACACAAGUGCCUCGCAGUAACAGUCCUCGCGUUUCUCGAAACGGCUCAGUCCCGGGCAGCGACGGGCGGUGUGUACAAAGGGCAGGGA